GUUGGGUUAAGUCCCGCAACGAGCGCAACCCUCGUCGUCAGUUGCCACCAUUCAGUUGAGCACUCUGACGAGACUGCCUGUGUUAAGCAGGAGGAAGGUGGGGAUGACGUCAAGUCCUCAUGGCCCUUACGGCCAGGGCUACACACGUACUACAAUGGGCGAUACAGAGUGUUGCGGCCUCGCGAGAGCAAGCCAAUCACAAAAAAUCGUCCCCAGUUCAGAUUGCGGUCUGCAACUCGACUGCAUGAAGGUGGAAUCGCUAGUAAUCGCGGAUCAGCAUGCCGCGGUGAAUACGUUCCCGGGCCUUGUACACACCGCCCGUCACACCAUGGGAGUUGUUUUGACCCGAAGUCGCCGUUCAAACCCGCAAGGGAUGUAAGCGCCUAAGGUCGGGAUAGCGACUGGGGUGAAGUCGUAACAAGGUAGC
This 427-nucleotide ribosomal RNA is filed under the name uncultured delta proteobacterium. RNAcentral describes it as "bacterial SSU rRNA". It matches the Rfam family "Bacterial small subunit ribosomal RNA", at positions 1074 to 1500 of the family's 1533-position model. Lineage: Bacteria; Deltaproteobacteria. The record is from RNAcentral.